Long non-coding RNA from Lactuca sativa (garden lettuce), 1072 nucleotides. RefSeq lists it as uncharacterized. The record is from RefSeq and is a predicted model, not a curated record. Lineage: Eukaryota; Viridiplantae; Streptophyta; Magnoliopsida; Asterales; Asteraceae.
UCCCCCCUGUUAGCGACAUAGCGUGAGGGAGGGAGUUGUUCUCCCAUUUUCGUUGCUGCACCUGGUCGUUCUAAAUGCAAAGAAUCAACCUCAAUUUAAUUAGUGAGUGUGGGUGUGAUUGUGUUUUGUGUGCAGCUGGAACGAGAGUCGGAGAAAAUUGGAGAAAGGUAAUAGCUAGAAAUAAAGAUAUAAGUUGAGUUCUUUCAGCCAUCAAAUGUUAUCCUCUUGUGCUCCAGGUUCUUAGAUCUAGAAAUAAGAGGGAGAGAGAGAAGAAGAAAAAGAAAUGAAGAAGCACCGGCUGUCGCCGAUGGACCCAUUGGAAUUUCACCGGAAGACAUCUAGGUGAGAGUUUGAUGUGUGGAGUUAAGCCGGCAGUGAAUCACAAGCUUCGAUGAGAAACUGAUGGUUCAAUGCAUUUCCGAUGGGACCGCUGAUCAUUUCUUCAGCUAUUCCUAGCAGCAAAGUCGUCCUGUCCAUGUAUACUUUCCGAUGAACAAGGUGUAAGGUAGAGCUACUUAUCGAAAUCUCCAGUGGGCUUAUCACAACAAAGAUUAAAUAGAUGAAGCAGUGGGGAAAAAGAAAAGGGGUAGCUAUGAGAAUCAUGUAUAGCUUAAACCCUGUUUGGAGUUUUGAGUGAUUGUUGGGGCUAGUUGGCAUCGACGGGGAUAAGGGCAUCGCUGGAAACGAAGAGGACUCCGCCAGAGCUGAGUAUCGUUGGAGUUAGGAAGCUCAACGGAGAAGUAGGGGGCGUUGGCCUCCUGGCGGCUGGUUAUGAUGUGGAGGAGAUCGGGAAUUUGUCAUCUAGCAGUUGGGGUCGAGUCUGCGGGACUUCAGCAGUGUGGGAUUGAGUCUGCGAGACUUCAGCGUUAUGAGGUACUUCCGCAAGUAAAGGGAAGAGCUCGGGAUGAUGACAUCGCACACACCACAGCUUCAACAUUUUAUCCUGGGAUUUUUGUUCAGAUACUUAGAUAUGAUUUGAUACAGUUUUUGAUACGACUCUUUUAUUAUGGUUUUUGAUAUAUUGACGUAUGGUUUUAUUCUAUGAUAUUCGUCGUUAUGAUUUUUAGUAUUA